Perca flavescens (yellow perch) is the source of this 501-nucleotide non-coding RNA. Lineage: Eukaryota; Metazoa; Chordata; Actinopteri; Perciformes; Percidae. The record is from the annotation of a RefSeq genome assembly.
UAGUCCCAGUUCAGAUGUGAGCCACCACAGUGAAUAUUAUGCCUAGAUGAGGAUUUUAAAAUGUUUGUCAUUUUGUUUUUUUCUCUGUCUUUGCUAACAGACAUUGUGAUGUCGUCGCUUACAAUCCAACAAUCACCUCCUCUGAUAAAACCUGAGCAAGCAGAAGCCCGUCUUGACUGUUACCAUGGAGACAACAACUACCCCUACAUGCUCUGGUACCGGCACAAGUCGGCAGCAGGAGGCCCGGGGGGCAUGGAGCUGAUCGGACUGCUUCACUACGAAAACCCAAACGUUGAGGAGAACUUUGAAGCACGUUUCAAGAUGACGGGCCACUCAAAAGGCCGAGCUCAGCUUGUCAUCUCCAACAUAAUCCCAGCAGACAGUGCAGAGUAUUUCUGUGCAGCGAGUAAGCACAGUGUUUCAACUCCUCUGGCUCCUUUACAAAAAGCUGGUGGCCCACAGUCACAUGCACCUGCAUCAACAAGCCAAACUGCUCGAUAA